RNAcentral lists this transfer RNA (70 nucleotides) under Dipodomys ordii (Ord's kangaroo rat). It matches the Rfam family "tRNA". From Rfam's summary of the family: Transfer RNA (tRNA) molecules are approximately 80 nucleotides in length. Their secondary structure includes four short double-helical elements and three loops (D, anti-codon, and T loops). The record is from Rfam by way of RNAcentral. Lineage: Eukaryota; Metazoa; Chordata; Mammalia; Rodentia; Heteromyidae.
GGGAAUGUGGUUUAGUAGUAGAGUGCUUGCCUUGCAUGCAUGAGGCCCUGGGUUCAAUUCCUCAGCACCA